GCCAAUGCUGAUGAUGCUUGGACCUCACUUUGAGUAGCAAAGGCCUAGAGGACCCAUUAAUGGGCUUCAGGUGAUAUUCAGGGGAGUUGCUGCUAGACAAAUGUCUUCAUUGCUAGGGUCCUCAUGCAGACAUGACGUAUGGAGCCAAAGUCUGAGAAACUGAUAGCAGAUUUUGCAAUUUGAUGCACAAAAUUCUACCAGUGGGAGAAGUCCUUUUGCUUUAGGAAUCCCUGUGGCAUGCAGGUUGACGUUUCCAUACUGUCCAUAAACUCCUGUCACAAGGGAAGUCAGCUUCACCCUGAGUGUUUAAGGAAUGCCACAGUCUCCCCACCCCCCCCCCCCCCCCCCC
This 349-nucleotide long non-coding RNA is filed under the name Equus asinus (donkey). RNAcentral describes it as "lncRNA (ENSEASG00005038112.1)". Lineage: Eukaryota; Metazoa; Chordata; Mammalia; Perissodactyla; Equidae. The record is from RNAcentral.